This 433-nucleotide ribosomal RNA is filed under the name uncultured bacterium. RNAcentral describes it as "partial 16S ribosomal RNA". It matches the Rfam family "Bacterial small subunit ribosomal RNA", at positions 29 to 507 of the family's 1533-position model. The record is from RNAcentral.
AACGAACGCUGGCGGCAUGCCUAACACAUGCAAGUCGAACGAGACCUUCGGGUCUAGUGGCGCACGGGUGCGUAACGCGUGGGAACCUGCCCUUAGGUUCGGAAUAACUCCCCGAAAGGGGUGCUAAUACCGGAUAAUGUCUUCGGACCAAAGAUUUAUCGCCUUUGGAUGGGCCCGCGUUGGAUUAGCUAGUUGGUAGGGUAAAGGCCUACCAAGGCGACGAUCCAUAGCUGGUCUGAGAGGAUGAUCAGCCACACUGGGACUGAGACACGGCCCAGACUCCUACGGGAGGCAGCAGUGGGGAAUAUUGGACAAUGGGCGAAAGCCUGAUACAGCAAUGCCGCGUGAGUGAUGAAGGCCUUAGGGUUGUAAAGCUCUUUUACCCGGGAUGGUAAUGACAGUACCGGGAGAAUAAGCUCCGGCUAACUCCGUG